GUAUAAGUUUUUUUAUCAACGCUUUUUUAAGGCGAGGACAUCAAUUUACAUUCUAUUACACAUGGGGGUUGGUGAUAAGACAUAGGGGCCUUUUUACGGGCCCUUACAUUGGGUUCACAGGUGUGUGUUGGAUUAAAGGCUCAGGUGUGCACAUGCCCCGAAAGGCCAGCUACAACCUUCACCGGUAAUUUCAAUAAUGAUCCUUCCGCAGGUUCACCUACGGAAA
Molecule: unclassified non-coding RNA, 226 nt
Filed under: uncultured fungus
Lineage: Eukaryota; Fungi
Description: sequence contains ITS1
Source: RNAcentral